UGUGUCGCCUUUGUUUUUCAGACGACAUCAUAACCUUAUGUGUCCCCUUUUAUAUACAGGUGACACCUUAAACGUAAAUCUUAUUGUUUUAUUAAACUCUCGUGUGAAACGAAAUAUUUGAGUGCUUUUUUUUUAUAAAAAGAAUUACAAAGUAUAAGAAAAUACAAAACAUCAACCUAUCAAAUUAAUUAAUGGGACCUAAACUUCAAAAAAAAAAAAAAAAAAGGGAAAAAAAAAAGAAAGCCAUUCAACUCUAACUCAACCCUUACGGGAAACCUCUACCAAAACCACCAUAAACCCUCACGGCAAACCUCUAUCAACGAAUUGGGCACUACCAUCAAUACCCACGAAAUUGAAACCCUCCAUCAACAAUAGAGAAUCGCGAGAUUGCUGGCGAUAGAUUCAUAGGGAAAUCACUUAAGCAACUGCACGGAGCCGUCGAAUCAGGCAGUAGCAAACCCUUAAAAAACGGUCUUCGCAUUUCAACUUGGAGGCAUAUACUCACGAAGUAUCGAUGAUGUUCGUGAAAGAUGGUGUAGAUUUUUCAUUGAUAAUUGUUUAUAGUUAAUUAGUUUCAGUUUGACACUUAGUUGACAUAAACUUCUUAAAUUCGUAUUCAGUAUUUUCUAAUAUGUAAAAAUACAAAAGUAUUACGUAUGACUUUUAUCAUUUUUGGAGAUUAUAUUCCAAUGGUUUGAAUUUUUAUUUA
Molecule: long non-coding RNA, 709 nt
Organism: Spinacia oleracea (spinach)
Lineage: Eukaryota; Viridiplantae; Streptophyta; Magnoliopsida; Caryophyllales; Amaranthaceae
Exons: 2
Source: RefSeq, a predicted model, not a curated record